UCAUAAGCUGCAGGAAGUCGGUGCUCCGGAGCAAGACGGUACUCGACGGAGACUACGACAGCCGGAAUUUCAGUCACAAUUGGAGUGUACAAAGCAUCAAAACUGGCUGUAUUUACACUACACGCGACGAAGCCUCCGGCAUGAAAAUAAAUAAUGAGGGGCAAUUUUUGUUUAGGGGAGGAAUCAUCAUCAUCAAACGCUUUCCGCGGAACGAAUAUUCGAGCCCAGGUGCCCUUCGAUUGGUUUAUGUCCAAGUCCUUUGAAAGAUGAAAAGGGCUGCUAGGAUCGGACGAGGCAGGUGUGCUCGGUGGUUGAAACAGGCGUGUGAUUGAGCCAUCGGGAUUUUUUGCCAAUCCCAUGUAGCCAUAGGGGUUUUCAUUAGGAUCAACUGGCUGCUGAACUUGAUCUGACAUGAUGGUUUUCUUGGACAGAUGUUUUGUGGGUAGGAAAGGAUAGAAGGUAUAUUUGUAGAGGCAGCAGAGUCUUGAUAGUUUUCUCUCUGGCUGCGUUGGCUGAUAGGAUUUGUAGUUUAGACGAUUAGUAUACGUGUUUGCCUCACACUCUCAAUACACAAGAACGCCGUUCUAUCCUAUGUUUUUCGAACCGGACCGGAUAGCGACUCGACCGAGGCCAGGGGUCAGGGGUCAAUGGGUUCGACCGGGGGUCGAUAGGGAUCAAACCGGAUGACGUCAUAAAUAAAAAUUAUUUAAAAAUUAAAAUAUUAUAUAUAUAAUAUUUAAUAAUAUGUUGAUAUUAAUAAAGGUAUAUUCAUAUAUAUUUGAUGUUUCAAAUAUAUUUAAUAUGAAAAUACAAAGAAAUUAGAACAAUCAAGUAGCAAUUUAUAUUAUUUAAUAAAUAUUAAUAAGUUUAGAAUUAAAAGUAUGAAUUAAAUUGAAAAAUAACAUCAAAUUUUAGGAUAAUAUUUAUAAAAUAUCAAAUAUUUGAGGUAUAUCAAUAAGUUUUAAUAAUUUAGGGGGUCAAAACAUAAUAUUAAAAAGUUUGAAUUUUUUUUUAAAAAAACACUGUUGAACCGGAAAAUCGGUUUUUUCCGGUCAAACCCGGUCAAAAUCGGUUUUUGACCGACUUUGACCGAGUUUUAAAUUCCCGGUUUUUUAGUAUGGCUCGGGCCGACUAUCUGACCGAUUUUCGAUUCGACCGGUCGGUCCGGUCCGAAUUUCAAAACAGAGGUUCUAUCUGCUAAUUUGUUGUACAACAUGUAGCAAUUGAUUGAACUUUGAAGAUCAGUCAAUAAGUGCUAAGUACCAACAACUCCUUUGUUUUUUUAUUAUUUUUUUAUUUGACCGAGGAGUGGAAUAAUAGUUUUCAUUUUUCAAACUUCCCGGGAAGAUUAAAAUAUUGACCACUUCUUCAACUUGACACGAGAGACCGUCAAAUUUGGCGAUUGAAUUUCGAUUAUUAUUAAUGAGACCGAGGAGGGUUCUUAAUAGGACUGCAAACGAAUCGAGCCGCUCGAGUCAAGCUCGAGUCGAGCUCGAUAUUAAUCGAGCUCGAGCCGGCUCGAAUCAAACUCGAGCUCGAACUCGAGUUCAGAAUAUUAAACUCGUUAGUAUAUAUAUAUAUAUAUUUUUUAUUUAAUAAUAAAAUUAUGUAUAUUAUAUAUAUUUUUUAUUUUUUAUUUUCAUAGUAAAAUUACGUAUAUAUCCUUAAUAUUUUAUUAUUUAUUAAGAAAAAAUAUUAUUUUAUUUAUUUUUUAAAAAUAAAAUAAUUAUUUUUUUUUUCGAGCUCGAGCUCGAAAAUUGCUGGCUCAUCCAGCUCGAGCUCGAGUUUGGUAAAAUUUAGUCAAGAUUCGACUCGAUUAACUCAAAACUCGACUCGACUCGUUUGCAGCUCUAGUUCUUAAGAAGCCCAAAAGUUGAAAAAGAAGUAAAAUCUGGGAGGGUUCCAACUUAUAAGUUGAAGGUGGUUUGGAACGUCCCCGGGUAGCACAGAAGGAGAUUUUGGGAGCAGAUAUUUUGGGAGUUGUUACCCCUAGGGGUGAUUUCUUCUUAAGGGGGUUUGUCAUUUCUUAUCUCUACAAUAACAAAGUUUGUGUAGGCAUUAACUUUGUUUAUUUUCAAAUUUAUUUUUAUCUCUAUUAUUUUUCUAAUGAUUAGCUUCUCCAUUAAUCAUUAUUUCUAUUAUCAACUGAAACACAAAUUUUAUCCAAUCAAAAUUACCUCCCUUCAAUUCUCACAUUCUCCCUUACUAAUGCGUUUUUUACUUCCAAUUGUACAUAUUUCUGUAUAAUACACUUUUUAUCACAUAUUACAUAAAAUAGUUACGCUCAUUUGCACUAUUUUUGUAAUUCUUUCAAUUUAAAAUAUUUUUUGACAAAUUGCACACGCAUUAAGUGUGCCUCGAUAACUAGUAGUAACUAAUAAUGAUGAAUAAAGGGAUACUUUAUUAGUUUGACAAUUUUUUGGACGAUUUUCUCUAUCUUCCAAACAUCCAAGUAAACUGGCACAACAAUUUGAGUUCAAUUUUUAUUACAAACUCCACCCAAAAUAUUCUUGUUUAUUGGUACAUCAGGUAAAAUGCGGUGAAGUUGACCUCUAUUGUUGCAUAAUUAUAUUUCAGUUGUAUAAAAUUGAAAAGACAAGAUGAAAAAUAUAGGACAUGUAUAUUAUUAUUGACAUAGAAAAUCAUUCAACAGAUAUAUUACUUUUCAUUUAGAUGUGAUUAGACUUUACUUUUUCCACUCAACAUGCCAGUAGAUGCACCUCUACUUUCCAUAAAGUUGCAACCUCCCUGUUCUAGUACAGAUGAAAUGUAGAAAAUGGAACUUUACAAAAGGAAAAAACAGCUAAGGAACGAAAAGAUGGGAAAAAAUUUAGGUAACAUGAAAGGCAAUACUAGUAAGUUUUUUUUUUUUCGAUAAGUGCAAAGUUCUGAAUUCAAGGACCUCUUACUUAUUAUUCUUUUUCACUUUAUCAGCCAACCCAAUUCUCAAUGAAUACUAGCAGUAUAAGUUUUGUACUCCGUAUAACUGAUACAACUAUCACCCUGUUACACUACCAUGCAAAUCCAAGACCUUAAUUGUAUUAUUAUCUCUUUGAAAACAGAAGGGCACAGACAAUUUUAUCACUCAUGUAACUAGAUGACAAUUUUGGGACAAGAAAAGUCCAAAUAUUACUACAUCAAAAGUCCAGUUCACUCGAUAUAAUCAAAAGUAGUCCAUACUGCACACAAAUGAAAUUAGCUAGUAAGCCACCAAACAGAAAAGCUAGUUCUACCAUACCAGCGCACUAGCUUUGCUUAGCUGAACUUUUUGGCUUUUGACCUGUUGUAAGAUCAAAAUAGCUUCCCAAAGCACAUACUUUUUCAAGAAGUGGUGGUAGAUUCAACAAGGUCUUUAAUAACAAUGGCUAGUUCUUUAGCCUUUGUGGGAUCUCCAAGCUCAUACCCAUGACAUCCUCCCUCAGCAAACUUGCCUGUCACCGAUACACCUUUCUCUUCUAAUUUCUUCCAAAGCUCAAUCUGCCGAUCUAUCAACAGAUCACCGUCAAAGCCAGUGACCAAAAUCUUCCACCCCAGAGAUUUGACCUGAUCAAAUUGGUCUGGCUUAAUCUUCGCCAUUGGGUUGCAAUACUCAUGAUCGCGGUCAACGCCGAUUGGCAAGCUCAGAUCCCACAUCAGAUCAGUUAACGUCAACGGUACAACCCUGUCGUUGGCGAGCCUCAACUCUGACUCAGUCCUCUCGAUCCCACCAAAGAAUGGCUGAUGCAAUAUCAACCCUUUGAUCUGCAGAGGCAGGAGAUCGUCAACACAUGCAGCUACUUGGAGGCCAACAUGAUAAGCAAUGUUACCACCAGCACUACUGCCCAUCAAGAAAGCCUUAGAAAAAUCAGCAUGUUUUUCCAACCAUUCGUCGUUGGAGUUUUUGAUGAUCCAAUGCAAGGCUUCGAAGCAAUCUUCAUAAGCUGCAGGAAGUCGGUGCUCCGGAGCAAGACGGUACUCGACGGAGACAACUACAGCCGGAAUUUCAGUAACGAUUGGAGUGUACAAAGCAUCAAAUAUGGCUGUAUUUACAGUACACGCGACGAAGCCUCCAGCAUGAAAAUAGAUAAUGAGGGGCAAUUUUUGUUUAGGGGAGGAAUCAUCAUCAUCAAACGCUUUCCGAGGAACGAAUAUUCGAGCCCAGGUGCCCUUCGAUUGGUUUAUGUCCAAGUCCUUUGAAAGAUGAAAAGGGUUGCUGGGAUCGGACGAGGCAGGUGUGCUCGGUGGUUGAAACAGGCGUGUGAUUGAGCCAUCGGGAUUUUUUGCUAUUCCCAGGUAGCCAUAGGGGUUUUCAUUAGGAUCAACUGGCUGCUGAACUUGAUCUGACAUGAUGGUUUUCUUGGACAGAUGUUUUGUAGAUAGUAGAAAGCAAGAUAAUUGUAGAGUUUAUGAGGUAUUUGUAGAGCCUGCUUGCCAGCUAGUUUGACGGUUACUCUCGUUGCUCUCGAUAAUGACUUGUAUUAUAUGGGAUUAACGUUCCUAUGACAUAAUCUAUCCUAACCUAGGAGACGGAAGUCGAUGGAAGUAGAAAUUUUAUUAGAGAAAAUCACUUAAGGCAGUCACAUACAGUAAUAAUUUGAUGAAAGGUAAAAAUUAAACCCAUGAUUUCCCAACAUCAUCAAAAUUUAAGUGCAUGACAGUGAUCACCAGGCAAAGGGCUGGUAGCGACCUUUCUCACUUCACAAGAACGCUAAUUUAUUAUAUAACCGUUUGGUUGACUUCUGAUGGAGAAAUCGAUUAAAAACCGGCUGAUUUACUCCUAGUGCUGUAACUUAAAUUUUGCUGUCUGCAUUCGAUGAGUUUUGAUCCAACAAAAUUUUGGGAUUUUCACUGUGACUUGUGGGACAUUGGGGAUUCGGCCCCAUUGGUGGAGUAGUUGGAAUAUUAAUAACAGCUAAUUACUCCUUUGUUUCUAGUGGUUCGAUUUGAACGAAGAGCUAAACAAUAGCUUUCAAACUUCCGUGGAAGGUGAAAUGUUGACCAAUUCUUGAACUUAGACUGGAGACUAUCAUUUUUUUUUUGGGUAACGCUGACACUUGUAUAAUCUAUUCUAACCUAUUUCAGAGGAAGGGAGAGCCUGACCGACGAAGUUUCAUCGAAGGAAGCCACUUGCAAUAACCUACUCUAACCUAUUCUAAACGGGAUUUCGUCGAGGGAAGCCAUUUGAAGGUGAUAACCAUAAUUAAAUGACAAAUAUACGAUAAGAGAGGCAAGAGUUGACUCCUAUUUCCACCAAAACUAAAGUCUUAGUGGUGAUCGGCAGCUUUCAACAACUAGGGGUGUGCAAAAUCAAAAUAUUCCGAUUUGCCGACCGAAUUCGAAUUGAAUUCGGAAAUUCAAAUUCAAUAAUUUGGAAUGAAAAUCUGAUUUCGAUUUCGAUUUUGAAUUAUGAAUUCGAAAUCGGAGUUUCGUUUUCGAAUUGGUCGAAUUCGGUAACGAGAUUUUUCAAAUCGGAAAAUUCCGAUUUCGAAUUCACAAUUCAAAAUCGAAAUCGGAAUUCAGAAUUUCUAUUUCGAUUUCAAAUAUGUUUUUCAUAUAUAUAUAUAUAAUAUAUAAUAUAACAUUUAUAUUAUAAUAAUAAUUUUUAUAUUCAUGAAUUCGGUGAAAUCGGAAUUCCUAUUUCGAUUUCAAUUUUGUUUUCACACACAUAUAUAUAUUAUAAUAUUAUAUAUAUAUAUGUAAUAUAAUAUUUAUAUAAUAAUAAUAAUUUUUAUAUUCAUGAAUUUGGUGGAAUUGAAAUUUACCGAAUUUCGAAUUGGAUUCGAAACGAAUUCAAAUUUGAAAUUGGUGAAUUCAAAAUCGAAAUCGAUCAAAAAUUCUGAUACAAAAAUUCUGAAAAAUUUCGAUUUGAAAGUUCCGAAUUACCGAUUUCGAUUUCGAUUCACACCCCUACCAACAACCUCUCAACCCAAGCGGUUGUUGGCUACUAUCGUAUUUCGUUGGUAGUCGAAUCCGAUCCUUCCAUCUAUGAUUGGACUGAGGAGGGUUCAAGCCCAGAACUUGAGGAAAAAGUAAAAUUUGGGGGCAGUUCUUCUAUCUUCCAAGUUCAAGUUUCAAGAUUCAAUCUACUUGGGAGAUCCUCUGGGGCCACUAAAGAGAUUUUGGGAUCUGCUGUUUCGGGGUUGUUACCCACCCCAGCCCCCUGGUUGUUUUCUUCUUAAAGGGCCUUUGUCGCACGUUAUAAACCAAACAAAGAAACAAAAAUUACAGGGAAAAUUACUGUCUUAGUCCUAAUGUACAGCCCUCCGUAGUUUUAGUUCUUAAAAUUUUGAAAAAAAAAAAAUUUGAUCCCUAAUGUUUAAUAUAUGUAUAGUUUUGGUACCUAAAGUUUGGGCAAGAACAUAUCUGGUUCUCAAUGUAUCCAAUUUAAAGCAGAUUGAUUUAUGACAAUUGAUAAAUUUUUACUGACAUAAUUUAGUCAUUAGCAAUCAUGAGUCCAUUAAAUUGAAUUCUAAAAUAAGGGUAAAUUACACUAACUUGAAUUUUAAAAUAAGGGUAAAUUACACUGACUUCCUCUCUAGUUUCUGCAAAAGUUACACACCUCCCUUCUUGAUUUUAAGAUAACAGGGAUCUCACCUCUAAAUCACUAUAUAAUGUUAAUUACUUCCCUUACUGUUAACCAGAUAAUGAAAGUCAAUUUGUAUUGCCAUUAAUAUCCUCCCACAUCCCAAAAUGCCCUAGGUUGACAUUUUUUUAUUAUUUUCUACAAAAUUGAAAAAUCUGAUUGCAAGAUCUUUUUUCUUUAGCUCUUAUGGUAGUAUGAAACACAUCCUAGGAUUUUGUAGAAAAUAUCCAAUUUAGAUCCAACAGAAUUGGAGGCUUCAACCGCUGAUAUAAAUCUCAGGCUCAUUCACUAGGCUAAAAGGCCUAUAUUUCCCUUUCCAUUUUGAUAUCUACCAUUUGUAAUGUAGUUAUUAUACUCGACUCGACCUGACAGUUGAAUUGGUCAACUUGAUGAAUCAGCCACCUAACCGACUGGGUUAGUAAUUAGAUUGGAUAAUGGAAGAUCCCAUUGAUUAGUUAAUGAUGCAGUGGGGGUUGCUGGAACUUGAAUCCAAGACUAGUCGGUCCAUGUCUUUCUUUUCGAAUAGGAAAUAGUUCAACCAAAAAAAUCUCACAAACCCAACAAUGAUUGGACUAUCGGUUCGACCACUAAUUCAAUUAUUUAUUUUUUUUAAUAACUCAAACUUUUCAUUUUAAUUUCAUCAUCAUUUUUCUUGCUAUAGUAUUUCCUUUUUAUAAUAGAUUUUUAGAAUUUUUGAAAAACAUUAUUUGUCAAAAUUUGCUUAUCACUUUUGAUGAACGAUCAAUACUCCGCAGCCAAGGUAGGUGGAACAAUUGAGUCGGCGACCGCGACUGCAACUGCCAUGGCAAAUCAGGUCCCAACCCUGAUUAAGCCAUUAGGAUUAAGGCCUAUGUCACUUAAUUCGUGGAUGGAUCAAUUCCAUUCAUGGUAGAUUUCCUGUAUAUGAAGACAUUCCAAGGUUUAUGCGGUGGUAGACCUGGCGGUCCAUCCUGUAUAGGUUUUCGGUGGUUGUGAGCAAUUGAAACAUGGCCAGGUAACAUCAGGUCACCAUCCAGUUGAACUCUAUAUGUUGGCCUCCGGCCAAAAGAAAAAGAAUGAUACGCAUGAUGUUGUAGGCAAGCAAACUUGUGUAGAAAAGUUUGACCCUGGCAUCUGAAAUCAAUAAUGUCUGAAAAACCAGUGUUAGAGGAGAUUAACCCGACUCUUCAAAACUUCCAGUAGAUUUGUAGUUACCCAACUCAACAAAAACAGAUGAGUUACCAGACCAGAGGGUUGAGGUGCAUGAGACAUCGGAUUAAAAUUUACUUCCAUAAUACAGAUUUAGAAGUUUGAUACAGAUAUAACCUGGGUUUAAACCUGACUACUUCAAUAAACCCGGGUCUAAUCUAUUGCAUGGUUAUUAUCGUGUGACAAUGGUUUAAACCCAGGUCUAACCUGUUGUAAUUGUAAACCUGAAAGUUUUUGAAGGAAAUAAAGAACACAGAACCACUGACCAAAUUUUGAGAGUAACCUGUUGUAUGAUCAGAACAAUAUCCCAAGCACAAACUUUUUCAAGAAGUGGUGGCAGAUUCUACGAGGUCCUUAAUGGUAAUGGCCAGUUCUUUAGCCUUGGCGGGAUCUAGAGCCUCGUACCCAUGACUUCCUCCCUCGUCAAACUUACCUGUUACUGAUACACCGUUCUCUUCUGAUUUCUUCCAGAGCUCAAUCUGACGGUCUCUCAACGGAUCACCAUCAAAGUCAGUGACCAAAAUCUUCCACCCUAGAGCUUUAACCUGAUCAAAUUGGUCUGAUGUAAUGAACGCCAUUGGAUUGCAAUACCUAUGAUCACGGUCAAAGCCAAUUGGCAAGCUUAGAUCCCACAUCAGAUCACAUACUGUCAACGGUAUGACCAUGUCCUUGGCCAAUUUCAACUCAGAUUCAGUCAGCUCGGUCCCACCGAAGAAUGGAUGAUGCAAUAUCAACCCUUUGAUCCGCAGAGGCAGGAGAUCAUCCAUACAUGCAGCUGCACUUAAGCCAACAUGAUAGGCUAUGUUACCACCAGCAUUGGUGCCCAUCAAGAAAGCCUUAGAAAAGUCAGCAUAUUUUUCCAUCCAUUCAUCGUUUGAUGAUUUAAUCCAACGCAAGGCUUCAAAGCAAUCUUCGUAAGCUGCCGGAAGCCGGUGCUCCGGAGCAAGACGAUACUCAACAGAGACGACGACAGCCGGGAUUUCAGUAACAAUUGGAGUGUACAAAGCAUCAAACAUGGCUGUAUUUACACUGAAUACAACGAAGCCUCCCCCAUGAAAGUAAACAAUGAGAGGCAAUUUUGUGGUAGGGAAGGAAUCAAAUGCUGCUCGGGGGAUGAAUAUUCGAGCCCAAGUGCCCUUAGAUUGGUUAACGUCCGCGUCCUUUGAUACUUGAAAAGGAUUGCUAGGAUCGGAUGAGGCAGGGGUGCCAGGGGUUUGAGCUUGAGACAGGCGUGUGAUAGAGCCAUCGGGAUUUUUGGUCAUUCCCAGGUAGCCAUAGGGGU
RNAcentral lists this long non-coding RNA (9032 nucleotides) under Coffea arabica (coffee). RNAcentral's name for it is "long non-coding RNA (CARA_LNC005846)". The record is from RNAcentral. Lineage: Eukaryota; Viridiplantae; Streptophyta; Magnoliopsida; Gentianales; Rubiaceae.